This is a non-coding RNA of Zonotrichia albicollis (white-throated sparrow), 2395 nucleotides long. Lineage: Eukaryota; Metazoa; Chordata; Aves; Passeriformes; Passerellidae. The record is from RefSeq and is a predicted model, not a curated record.
UUCACUGGAAGGAUUGACAAGGCUUUCAUAAAGUGUUAGAACCUCACAUCUGUCAAUAUUUUUGGCCAGCAGGUUCAGAGGUUGUCAGUACAGAUCACACAGACACACAGAGCCUAAUCAGAAAAGUUGAAUUGCAUUGGUAACAGUGGGCUUUAAAGAAAAGUAGAGACUGGCAUAAAAAUGUUUAGCUGGAAACUGGAAGUGCAAGAAAGGACUAGUAUUACUCAGGGAGUGUGAGACAAUUUCCCUGGUCUUCCCAUCACUCCCUAAAGUUUGUAUGGUUGUUGCUGGGAUACUUUGGGCUGCUAGCAUGGGACAGAACAGAGAAAUCUGAUCUGGGGAUGUGUCCCACAAGCCAGGCAGAGAGAGAACAGUGGGAACACCAAGAGAAGGGUUCUCAUCCUGGAGAGGAGAAGACAACAAUGUGAUGUCUCUGUUAACGUGCCUGUUUGAAGCUCUCCAAUCAGCAAUGACCCAGGAAACCACAAACUCUCCAUUAAUGGCUUUACUACUGAUGAUUUAGAGGGUACUUCUUGGAGAAGUCAGAGAGAGUCUCUGGGAGAUGCUGCUUUUGAGUUUGUUAUUCUACAUGGUGGAGUGAUCAUUGAAACAAAACAACUUCUGCUGACAGCAGGCACCUUAGGUUACACAUUAAAAUUUCUGAUGUGCUAUGGAUGAGAGGAUAUCAGGCACCUGUGUUCUCUCCAGUGUCUCCUGAUUUGAAGCUUGGACUGGGAAUAGAGGAAUUUUCUGGCUCUGCCCAUGAGUGUGGUCUGCUCCAGGAAAACCUGCUGAGUGCUAUCCUCACCAGUUGUCUCAGAGAACAAGAAGCUGCAUAUUUCUACACAGCAGCAGAAAUAUAAGCACCCACAUUUGUAACAUCUAUCUUCCUUCAUAUUACCACCCUGUAGCAGAAUAAGAGGAGGGUCUCAAAGGUACCUCCUUGAAUGGACCAUUGUCUCUUCAAUUCUUCAAAACUGUGCCAUAAUUUCCUGACCUGUAUGUACCAGCUUUUUCUUCAAGCACAUCUCCUCUACACAGAAAUAAUCUUAAUUUCCUCAUGUCUCGCCUCCUCCCUUCUUCCCAUCACAGCUCCUUUGUUCCUUUUCCAAGCCUUAGGUUGGUCAAACAAUAUCUGCUGCAUUCCCUAUGGCUGGGGGGCUCAUCAUGUCAGAUGCCAUGACCCAUGGGGACCUCAAAAUGAGAGCCAAAUACAUUUGUACUGCCACUCCCUGACUAUGGUUUAAUAUUGUGGGCAAGGAAGGGCACCCGUGUGUUCACCUGAAGCAGAGAGGGCAGACAUAAAUAAUUUACAGCUGAGUUUUAGAUGUAAAUGACAUUGCAGACUGCAUGCAAAUGUAACAGCACCUCUGCACAGCUGUGUUUACAGAUACUCACCAGCACUAAAACAGGCUUACCUACCAAAACCUCAUUCUCAGCAAUUUUCCUUGCUAAUUAGGAGGCCCACCAGAGCCAUUGGAGCAAGAUCCUGGCAGUGCUUUCAUGCUGCAUUUUGCACACAAUAUUUUGUCAUCUGCUUCAGGGGGAAAGGUGGGGGAUACAGUUUGAAUUGCACUGCUCACAUCCAAAAUAUACAUCACUUUAAAAUUAGUAAUUAUUUCUGACCUAUUCUGGCAUCUCUGGGGAUGGCUUUCAAAGCACAUGGAAAGAAACACAGGAAGAGAUGGCCCAUCCAAAGGAGCCAAGACAUCAUGGAACAAAGAUGGUUUCAAUUUGCCUUCAACCCAAAGGGUUUCAGGAAAACACAGUUUAUUCAACCAGGAACAGAGUUCCUCUCUCAUCAGAAACAACAGAAGAUGUCUCAUAUCUUCCUCCUGGGAAGCAAUUUCAAAUAUUUGUGAGGUAAGAAAUCAUUCCCGGCUGAUGUUUUAACUACACUUUGAGCUGCUAGACUUUGUUUCCUGCCAGAUUGCUUCAGCUUUUCCUUCCUUGCUGCCAAGCCCUGCUUCCAUGCCAUCUAGUCUAGCCUGGCCACUUCUCCUUCCACCCUCUGCAGCCUGGUAAAAGGACACCCCUGCUCCCAGGAGUGACCACAGUGAUGCCAAGGGAGCUUGGCCUUGGCCAUUGCUCCCAUCAUGGACUCAAAACUUUCUGAGCCCUGGGUUGAAGUGAUUUGACAGGGAGGAGUAGCUCAGCAGCCUGCAAUUGCAGUAGCAAUGAAAGAAGCCAGGCAGCAGAACCACAAAUGUACAGCUGAGGUAAAUGACAACACUGGCACAGAAUUUAGCACUGGAACUCCUCAAAUGGCAGCUGCAGAGCUGUCAGAACUCAGUUCAAUCCUUCGGGUGUCCACAUUUGCCAAGAACCCCGCCGGGGGGCUUGGAGACCCGGGCAUGCAGCCCAGAGCACCUGGGGAUUUGAUUUUGAAACCUGG